GACGAACGCUGGCGGCGCGCCUAACACAUGCAAGUCGAACGAGCGAGAGAGAGCUUGCUUUCUCGAGCGAGUGGCGAACGGGUGAGUAACGCGUGAGGAACCUGCCUCAAAGAGGGGGACAACAGUUGGAAACGACUGCUAAUACCGCAUAAGCCCACGGGUCGGCAUCGACCAGAGGGAAAAGGAGCAAUCCGCUUUGAGAUGGCCUCGCGUCCGAUUAGCUAGUUGGUGAGGUAAUGGCCCACCAAGGCGACGAUCGGUAGCCGGACUGAGAGGUUGAACGGCCACAUUGGGACUGAGACACGGCCCAGACUCCUACGGGAGGCAGCAGUGGGGAAUAUUGCACAAUGGGGGAAACCCUGAUGCAGCGACGCCGCGUGGAGGAAGAAGGUCUUCGGAUUGUAAACUCCUGUUGUUGGGGAAGAUAAUGACGGUACCCAACAAGGAAGUGACGGCUAACUACGUGCCAGCAGCCGCGGUAAAACGUAGGUCACAAGCGUUGUCCGGAAUUACUGGGUGUAAAGGGAGCGCAGGCGGGAAGACAAGUUGGAAGUGAAAUCUAUGGGCUCAACCCAUAAACUGCUUUCAAAACUGUUUUUCUUGAGUAGUGCAGAGGUAGGCGGAAUUCCCGGUGUAGCGGUGGAAUGCGUAGAUAUCGGGAGGAACACCAGUGGCGAAGGCGGCCUACUGGGCACCAACUGACGCUGAGGCUCGAAAGUGUGGGUAGCAAACAGGAUUAGAUACCCUGGUAGUCCACACCGUAAACGAUGAUUACUAGGUGUUGGAGGAUUGACCCCUUCAGUGCCGCAGUUAACACAAUAAGUAAUCCACCUGGGGAGUACGACCGCAAGGUUGAAACUCAAAGGAAUUGACGGGGGCCCGCACAAGCAGUGGAGUAUGUGGUUUAAUUCGACGCAACGCGAAGAACCUUACCAAGUCUUGACAUCCCUUGACAGGCAUAGAAAUAUGUUUUCUCUUCGGAGCAAGGAGACAGGUGGUGCAUGGUUGUCGUCAGCUCGUGUCGUGAGAUGUUGGGUUAAGUCCCGCAACGAGCGCAACCCUUAUGGUCAGUUACUACGCAAGAGGACUCUGGCCAGACUGCCGUUGACAAAACGGAGGAAGGUGGGGAUGACGUCAAAUCAUCAUGCCCUUUAUGACUUGGGCUACACACGUACUACAAUGGCGUUAAACAAAGAGAAGCAAGACCGCGAGGUGGAGCAAAACUCAGAAACAACGUCCCAGUUCGGACUGCAGGCUGCAACUCGCCUGCACGAAGUCGGAAUUGCUAGUAAUCGUGGAUCAGCAUGCCACGGUGAAUACGUUCCCGGGCCU
RNAcentral lists this ribosomal RNA (1332 nucleotides) under uncultured bacterium. Its description in RNAcentral is "bacterial SSU rRNA". It matches the Rfam family "Bacterial small subunit ribosomal RNA", at positions 28 to 1381 of the family's 1533-position model. The record is from RNAcentral.